Unclassified non-coding RNA from Chelonoidis abingdonii (Abingdon island giant tortoise), 163 nucleotides. The record is from Ensembl. NCBI's taxonomy places the organism in Eukaryota, Metazoa, Chordata, Testudines, Testudinidae.
UUGACAGCUCUGAAGGUCCUCUCUCCACAGAGCAGGUACAGAGUACUAAUACUGCAAGUUCUCCCACAAUACCGUGCCAAUGUGCCUCAACCCGGAGCUAGAAGGACAACCUUGAAGGGUAAGAGGAUAUUUCAGUUUCCAUACCAUUCAAACCUCAACUUCU